Ribosomal RNA from Virgibacillus sp., 116 nucleotides. Lineage: Bacteria; Bacillati; Bacillota; Bacilli; Caryophanales; Bacillaceae. The record is from Rfam.
UCUGGUAGUUAUAGCGGAGAAGUCACACCUGUUCCCAUGCCGAACACAGCAGUUAAGCUCUCCAGCGCCGAUGGUAGUUGGGACUUUGUCCCUGCAAGAGUAGGACGCCGCCAGGC